AGACGUCUACAUUAGAUACCCGGUAGUCCCAGCCGUAAACAAUGUGCGUUAGGUGUGUCGGUAACCACGUGUUACUGAUGCGCCGAAGAGAAAUCGUGAAACGCACCACCUGGGAAGUACGGUCGCAAGGCUGAAACUUAAAGGAAUUGGCGGGGGAGGCACCACAACGCGUGGAGCCUGCGGUUUAAUUUGGAUUCAACGCCGGACAUCUCACCAGGGGCGACAGCAGAAUGAUGGCCAGGUUGAUGACCUUGCUUGACAAGCUG
RNAcentral lists this ribosomal RNA (266 nucleotides) under uncultured archaeon. RNAcentral describes it as "partial 16S ribosomal RNA". It matches the Rfam family "Archaeal small subunit ribosomal RNA", at positions 719 to 982 of the family's 1478-position model. The record is from RNAcentral.